GACGAACCGUACGAACGUUAUUCGGAAUCACUGGGCUUAAAGGGUGCGUAGGCUGUGCGGAAAGUUGGGUGUGAAAUCCCUCGGCUCAACCGGGGAAUUGCGCCCAAAACUACCGCGCUCGAGGGAGACAGAGGUGAGUGGAACUUCGGGUGGAGCGGUGAAAUGCGUUGAUAUCCGAAGGAACACCAGUGGCGAAAGCGACUCACUGGGUCUCUUCUGACGCUGAGGCACGAAAGCUAGGGUAGCGAACGGG
This 253-nucleotide ribosomal RNA is filed under the name uncultured bacterium. Its description in RNAcentral is "partial 16S ribosomal RNA". It matches the Rfam family "Bacterial small subunit ribosomal RNA", at positions 524 to 776 of the family's 1533-position model. The record is from RNAcentral.